AUGGCUCCAGUGGUCGGAACGGUAGGCCAAGUUGGUGAUGCUUGUCCGCCGCUAUUUUGUCUGAUCGAUGCUUUUCGGGAUGAUGGCGGCCUAGUGAUAGUGCUUGCUUGUUGACGCUUUCGGUGUGUGCUUGACCUCGGUCUUAGUAUCCUGAUCGUUCAUCUAAACGACUAAACUGGAACCGGUACGGACUCAGGGAAUCCGACUGUCUAAUUAAAACAGAGGUGACAGAUGGUCCUUGCGGACGCUGACUGUCACUGAUUUCUGCCCAGUGCUCUGAAUGUUAAAUCGUAGUAAUUGGAGUAAGCGCGGGUAAACGGCGGGAGUAACUAUGACUCUCUUAAGGUAGCCAAACACAAUAGGAUUGUUCAUUUUGCUCAAAAAUUAAUAUUUAGUGAGAA
This 401-nucleotide non-coding RNA is filed under the name Caenorhabditis japonica. Its description in RNAcentral is "Eukaryotic large subunit ribosomal RNA". It matches the Rfam family "Eukaryotic large subunit ribosomal RNA", at positions 1948 to 2315 of the family's 3401-position model. Lineage: Eukaryota; Metazoa; Nematoda; Chromadorea; Rhabditida; Rhabditidae. The record is from Rfam by way of RNAcentral.